Molecule: ribosomal RNA, 789 nt
Filed under: Arthrobacter sp. sm460-11
Lineage: Bacteria; Bacillati; Actinomycetota; Actinomycetes; Micrococcales; Micrococcaceae
Description: bacterial SSU rRNA
Rfam family: Bacterial small subunit ribosomal RNA
Source: RNAcentral
UGCAGUCGAACGAUGAUCUCCAGCUUGCUGGGGGGAUUAGUGGCGAACGGGUGAGUAACACGUGAGUAACCUGCCCUUAACUCUGGGAUAAGCCUGGGAAACUGGGUCUAAUACCGGAUAUGACUCCUCAUCGCAUGGUGGGGGGUGGAAAGCUUUUUGUGGUUUUGGAUGGACUCGCGGCCUAUCAGCUUGUUGGUGAGGUAAUGGCUUACCAAGGCGACGACGGGUAGCCGGCCUGAGAGGGUGACCGGCCACACUGGGACUGAGACACGGCCCAGACUCCUACGGGAGGCAGCAGUGGGGAAUAUUGCACAAUGGGCGCAAGCCUGAUGCAGCGACGCCGCGUGAGGGAUGACGGCCUUCGGGUUGUAAACCUCUUUCAGUAGGGAAGAAGCGAAAGUGACGGUACCUGCAGAAGAAGCGCCGGCUAACUACGUGCCAGCAGCCGCGGUAAUACGUAGGGCGCAAGCGUUAUCCGGAAUUAUUGGGCGUAAAGAGCUCGUAGGCGGUUUGUCGCGUCUGCCGUGAAAGUCCGGGGCUCAACUCCGGAUCUGCGGUGGGUACGGGCAGACUAGAGUGAUGUAGGGGAGACUGGAAUUCCUGGUGUAGCGGUGAAAUGCGCAGAUAUCAGGAGGAACACCGAUGGCGAAGGCAGGUCUCUGGGCAUUAACUGACGCUGAGGAGCGAAAGCAUGGGGAGCGAACAGGAUUAGAUACCCUGGUAGUCCAUGCCGUAAACGUUGGGCACUAGGUGUGGGGGACAUUCCACGUUUUCCGCGCCGUAGCUAAC